AAAAAUAGUGACUGCCUCAAGCAAGAAGCAGCUGUUGGUAAAAUAAUCGUAACUUGAGUUUCAGACAUUGGAUCGAGGUGAUUCAAGUUGGAUUGGAACGACAAGGAACGUUUCUACAACUUUCAUGUUUUAGAAGAAGUCAAAUUCGUAUCACAAUGCAGCCAAAAUUAUCGUGAAAAGUCCAGCUUGAUACCUGCCGGAUACAGCUUUACCUGUGAAGCAGCACUUAUUGUUUU
RNAcentral lists this long non-coding RNA (236 nucleotides) under Olea europaea (common olive). Its description in RNAcentral is "long non-coding RNA (OEUR_LNC014231)". The record is from RNAcentral. Lineage: Eukaryota; Viridiplantae; Streptophyta; Magnoliopsida; Lamiales; Oleaceae.